GUGGAUUAUAAGUGGCGGGGGGCAUCGAUGUGUGCUGUUGUCUCAUAUCAGGUUAAGCGCGUAGCGGCUGCAUUUCUCAGCAGAAGCAGACAGAUUCCUCCAUCAAUGCGCUACAGGGGGUGUGCGCGUCUGGAAAUGAGUCAUAAAUAGCCUACCGUCUGAAUAAUUUGUCCAGUCAUAUGAAAAUAUAUGUAUACUAAAUUGUACAAUUGGCUACUGUCAAAGAACGGUACUCGUUUGGGAGGCAUUUGGAUAGCAAGAAGGCUUUAUGAUCAUGGCUGUCAUCCUCAUAUUGAGUCCCACUGAGUUCUAAUCACUCUGCUAAACUAGUUCUCCCACAAGUGAUGGACAUUUAAUCAUCCAAAGGAUGCAUUAUCCUGCUGAGAGAGACCAAUGCCAUCAGGAAAUACCA
Molecule: long non-coding RNA, 412 nt
Organism: Esox lucius (northern pike)
Lineage: Eukaryota; Metazoa; Chordata; Actinopteri; Esociformes; Esocidae
Exons: 3
Source: RefSeq, a predicted model, not a curated record